AGAGUUUGAUCCUGGCUCAGAACGAACGCUGGCGGCGUGGAUAAGACAUGCAAGUCGAACGAGAGAAUUGCUAGCUUGCUAAUAAUUCUCUAGUGGCGCACGGGUGAGUAACACGUGAGUAACCUGCCCCCGAGAGCGGGAUAGCCCUGGGAAACUGGGAUUAAUACCGCAUAGUAUCGAAAGAUUAAAGCAGCAAUGCGCUUGGGGAUGGGCUCGCGGCCUAUUAGUUAGUUGGUGAGGUAACGGCUCACCAAGGCGAUGACGGGUAGCCGGUCUGAGAGGAUGUCCGGCCACACUGGAACUGAGACACGGUCCAGACACCUACGGGUGGCAGCAGUCGAGAAUCAUUCACAAUGGGGGAAACCCUGAUGGUGCGACGCCGCGUGGGGGAAUGAAGGUCUUCGGAUUGUAAACCCCUGUCAUGUGGGAGCAAAUUAAAAAGAUAGUACCACAAGAGGAAGAGACGGCUAACUCUGUGCCAGCAGCCGCGGUAAUACAGAGGUCUCAAGCGUUGUUCGGAAUCACUGGGCGUAAAGCGUGCGUAGGCUGUUUCGUAAGUCGUGUGUGAAAGGCGCGGGCUCAACCCGCGGACGGCACAUGAUACUGCGAGACUAGAGUAAUGGAGGGGGAACCGGAAUUCUCGGUGUAGCAGUGAAAUGCGUAGAUAUCGAGAGGAACACUCGUGGCGAAGGCGGGUUCCUGGACAUUAACUGACGCUGAGGCACGAAGGCCAGGGGAGCGAAAGAAAUUAGAUACCCCUGUAGUCCUGGCAGUAAACGGCGCUUAAGGGGUGUGCGGGGAAUCGACCCCCUGCGUGCCGGAGCUAACGCGUUAAGCGUGCCGCCUGGGGAGUACGGUCGCAAGAUUAAAACUCAAAGAAAUUGACGGGACCCCGCACAAGCGGUGGAGUAUGUGGCUUAAUUCGAUGCAACGCGAAGAACCUUACCUGGGCUUGACAUGUAAUGAACAACAUGUGAAAGCAUGCGACUCUUCGGAGGCGUUACACAGGUGCUGCAUGGCCGUCGUCAGCUCGUGUCGUGAGAUGUUUGGUUAAGUCCAGCAACGAGCGCAACCCCUGUUGCCAGUUACCAGCACGUGAAGGUGGGGACUCUGGCGAGACUGCCCAGAUCAACUGGGAGGAAGGUGGGGACGACGUCAGGUCAGUAUGGCCCUUAUGCCCAGGGCUGCACACGUACUACAAUGCCCAGUACAGAGGGGGCCGAAGCCGCGAGGCGGAGGAAAUCCUAAAAACUGGGCCCAGUUCGGACUGUAGGCUGCAACCCGCCUACACGAAGCCGGAAUCGCUAGUAAUGGCGCAUCAGCUACGGCGCCGUGAAUACGUUCCCGGGUCUUGUACACACC
This 1362-nucleotide ribosomal RNA is filed under the name uncultured bacterium. RNAcentral's name for it is "bacterial SSU rRNA". It matches the Rfam family "Bacterial small subunit ribosomal RNA". The record is from RNAcentral.